AACGAACGCUGGCGGCAUGCCUAACACAUGCAAGUCGAACGAGACCUUCGGGUCUAGUGGCGCACGGGUGCGUAACGCGUGGGAAUCUGUCCUUGGGUUCGGGAUAACAGUUGGAAACGACUGCUAAUACCGGAUGAUGACUUCGGUCCAAAGAUUUAUCGCCCAGGGAUGAGCCCGCGUCGGAUUAGCUAGUUGGUGAGGUAAAGGCUUACCAAGGCGACGAUCCGUAGCUGGUCUGAGAGGAUGAUCAGCCACACUGGGACUGAGAAACGGCCCAGACUCCUACGGGAGGCAGCAGUGGGGAAUAUUGGACAAUGGGCGAAAGCCUGAUCCAGCAAUGCCGCGUGAGUGAUGAAGGCCUUAGGGUUGUAAAGCUCUUUUACCCGGGAUGAUAAUGACAGUACCGGGAGAAUAAGCCCCGGCUAACUCCGUGCCAGCCGCCGCCGUAA
This 449-nucleotide ribosomal RNA is filed under the name uncultured bacterium. Its description in RNAcentral is "partial 16S ribosomal RNA". It matches the Rfam family "Bacterial small subunit ribosomal RNA", at positions 29 to 523 of the family's 1533-position model. The record is from RNAcentral.